CCUACGGGAGGCAGCAGUGGGGAAUAUUGGGCAAUGGAGGAAACUCUGACCCAGCGACGCCGCGUGCGGGAUGAAGGCCUUCGGGUUGUAAACCGCUUUCAGCAGGGAAUAAGCGCAAGUGAAGGUACCUGCAGAAGAAGCACCGGCUAACUAUGUGCCAGCAGCCGCGGUAAUACAUAGGGUGCAAGCGUUGUCCGGAAUUAUUGGGCGUAAAGAGCUCGUAGGUGGUUUGUUACGUCGGUUGUGAAAUUCAGGGGCUCAACCCCUGACUUGCAGCCGAUACGGGCAAGCCAGAGUUUGGUAGGGGAGACUGGAAUUCCUGGUGUAGCGGUGGAAUGCGCAGAUAUCAGGAGGAACACCGAUGGCGAAGGCAGGUCUCUGGGCCAAUACUGACACUGAGGAGCGAAAGCGUGGGGAGCGAACAGGAUUAGAUACCCUGGUAGUCCACGCCGUAAACGGUGGGCGCUAGUUGUGCGAACCUUCCACGGUUUGUGCGACGCAGCUAACGCAUUAAGCGCCCCGCCUGGGGAGUACGAUCGCAAGAUUAAAACUCAAAUGAAUUGACGG
RNAcentral lists this ribosomal RNA (567 nucleotides) under uncultured bacterium. RNAcentral's name for it is "bacterial SSU rRNA". It matches the Rfam family "Bacterial small subunit ribosomal RNA", at positions 338 to 916 of the family's 1533-position model. The record is from RNAcentral.